GUGCAUUCUGACGAAGAACAGCAAAGGUAAUCCAAUUUUUCUAAUAGUAAUUCUGAGUUUAGUGAGACCCAAACUUGGUGGGUGUCAAAUUAGCUAGGCUGUGAUGGCCGAGCUAUGUACUCAGAAUAUUGCAAAAUGUGCUAUCGCCAAAAAGCUAUUUUAAAAUCGGACAUAGCGAUUGCAUAAAGGAGUUCUGUAUCUAUAAUUCUUAAAAUAAUUGUUAUGUAUUUUGUCAACGUUUAUCAUGAGUAAUUUAGUAAAUACACCGGAUGUUUUCGGUGGGUAUGCUAGUUCUAAACAUCACAUGCUAAUGUAAAAGCUGGUUUUUGAUAUAAAUAUGAACUUGAUUGAACAAAACAUGCAUGUAUUGUAUAACAUAAUGUCCUAAGACUGUCAUCUGAUGAAGAUCAUCAAAGGUUAGUGCUGCAUUUAGCUGUGGUUUGGGUUUAUGUGACAUAUAUGCUUGCUUGGAAAAUGGCUGUGUGAUUAUUUGUGUUUAUGUACUCUCCUAACAUAAUCUAAUGUUUUGCUUUUGCUGUAAAGCCUUUUUGAAAUCGGACAAUGUGGUUAGAUUAACGAGAGUCUUAUCUUUAAAAUGGUGUAAAAUAGUUGAUUGUUUGAGAAAAUUGAAUUGUGGUAUUUUAGUUGGUUUUGUUUUCGCACCGUGCGAUGCCAUUGGCUGUUGGCUAGGGGUUCCGUGUCCUCAACCGGUUAACUCACCUCCAGACGAGCUUCAAUGCCAUACAACUCUCCUUCCGUGGCCUCCAAAUGCUCUUAAAGGCAAAUAAAACUAAAUGCAUGCUAUUCAACCGAUCAUUGCCCGCACCUGCCCGCCCAUCCAGCAUCACUACUCUGAACGGCUCUGACUUAGAAUAUGUGGAUAACUACAAAUACCUGGGUGUCUGGCUAGACUGUAAACUCUCCUUCCAGACUCAUAUUAACCUCUUAUGGCUAGGGGGCAGUAUUUUCACGGCUGGAUAAAAAACGUACCCGAUUUAAUCUGGUUACUAAUCCUACCCAGUAACUAGAAUAUGCAUAUACUUAUUAUAUAUGGAUAGAAAACACCCUAAAGUUUCUAAAACAGUUUGAAUGGUGUCUGUGAGUAUAACAGAACUCAAAUGGCAGGUCAAAACCGGAGAGAUCCUUUACAGGAAGUGGCCUGCCUGACCAUUUCUGGAACUUCUUUGCCAUCUCUAUCUU
RNAcentral lists this long non-coding RNA (1200 nucleotides) under Salmo salar (Atlantic salmon). RNAcentral describes it as "lncRNA (ENSSSAG00000096753.1)". The record is from RNAcentral. Lineage: Eukaryota; Metazoa; Chordata; Actinopteri; Salmoniformes; Salmonidae.